GACGAACGCUGGCGGCGUGCUUAACACAUGCAAGUCGAACGGAAAGGCCCUGCUUUUGUGGGGUGCUCGAGUGGCGAACGGGUGAGUAACACGUGAGUAACCUGCCCUUGACUUUGGGAUCACUUCAGGAAACUGGGGCUAAUACCGGAUAGGAGCUCCUGCUGCAUGGUGGGGGUUGGAAAGUUUCGGCGGUUGGGGAUGGACUCGCGGCUUAUCAGCUUGUUGGUGGGGUAGUGGCUUACCAAGGCUUUGACGGGUAGCCGGCCUGAGAGGGUGACCGGCCACAUGGGGACGGAGAUACGGCCCAGACUCCUACGGGGGGCAGCAGGGGGGAAUAUUGCAAAAGGGGGGGAAGCCGGAUGCAGCAACGCCGCGGGGGGGAGGACGGCCUUCGGGGUGUAACCCGCUUUCGCCUGUGACGAAGGGUGAGGGACGGGAAUGGGUAAAGAAGCACCGGCUAACUACGU
Molecule: ribosomal RNA, 467 nt
Filed under: uncultured bacterium
Lineage: Bacteria
Description: partial 16S ribosomal RNA
Rfam family: Bacterial small subunit ribosomal RNA
Source: RNAcentral